Molecule: ribosomal RNA, 460 nt
Filed under: uncultured bacterium
Lineage: Bacteria
Description: partial 16S ribosomal RNA
Rfam family: Bacterial small subunit ribosomal RNA
Source: RNAcentral
CCUACGGGGGGCUGCAGUGAGGAAUAUUGGUCAAUGGGCGGAAGCCUGAACCAGCCAAGUAGCGUGCAGGAUGACGGCCCUACGGGUUGUAAACUGCUUUUAUACGGGAAUAACGCGCCUUACGUUUAGGGCUUUGCAUGUACCGUAUGAAUAAGGACCGGCUAAUUCCGUGCCAGCAGCCGCGGUAAUACGGAAGGUCCGGGCGUUAUCCGGAUUUAUUGGGUGUAAAGGGAGCGUAGGCCGCAUGUCAUGCGUGCUGUGAAAUGUCCGGGCUCAACCUGGGCCUUGCAGUGCAAACUGGCGUGCUUGAGUACGGGGAAGGCAGGCGGAAUUCGGCGUGUAGCGGUGAAAUGCUUAGAUAUGACGAAGAACCCCGAUUGCGAAGGCAGCUUGCUGGAGCGGAACUGACGCUGAUGCUCGAAAGCGCGGGUAUCGAACAGGAUUAGAUACCCUAGUAGUC